Molecule: ribosomal RNA, 617 nt
Filed under: uncultured bacterium
Lineage: Bacteria
Description: bacterial SSU rRNA
Rfam family: Bacterial small subunit ribosomal RNA
Source: RNAcentral
CCGCGAAUGCUCUAGAUUAGAGUUGAUCAUGGCUCAGACUUGAACGCUGGCGGCCAAGGCCUAACACAUGCAAGUCGAGCGGAUGAGAAGAGCUUGCUCUUCGAUUCAGCGGCGGACGGGUGAGUAAUGCCUAGGAAUCUGCCUGGUAGUGGGGGACAACGUUUCGAAAGGAACGCUAAUACCGCAUACGUCCUACGGGAGAAAGCAGUGGGACCUUCGGGCCUUGCGCUAUCGGAUGAGCCUAGUGUCGGAUUAGCUAGUUGGUGAGGUAAUGGCUCACCAAGGCGACGAUCCGUAACUGGUCUGAGAGGAUGAUCAGUCACACUGGAACUGAGACACGGUCCAGACUCCUACGGGAGGCAGCAGUGGGGAAUAUUGGACAAUGGGCGAAAGCCUGAUCCAGCCAUGCCGCGUGUGUGAAGAAGGUCUUCGGAUUGUAAAGCACUUUAAGUUGGGAGCGAAGGGUUGUACGUUAAUACCGUGCAAUUUUUUGACGUUUACCCGAUCAGAAUAAGGCACCCGGGCUAACUCUGUUGGCCAGCAGACGCGGGUAAUAACCAGAGGGGUGCAAGCGUUUAAUACGGAAUUACUUGGGCGUUAAAGACGCCGCGUAAGUU